AGUCGAGCGAGCGGAACUAACUGAUUUACUUCGGUAAUGACGUUAGGAAAGCGAGCGGCGGAUGGGUGAGUAACACGUGGGGAACCUGCCCCAUAGUCUGGGAUACCACUUGGAAACAGGUGCUAAUACCGGAUAAGAAAGCAGAUCGCAUGAUCAGCUUUUAAAAGGCGGCGUAAGCUGUCGCUAUGGGAUGGCCCCGCGGUGCAUUAGCUAGUUGGUAAGGUAAAGGCUUACCAAGGCGAUGAUGCAUAGCCGAGUUGAGAGACUGAUCGGCCACAUUGGGACUGAGACACGGCCCAAACUCCUACGGGAGGCAGCAGUAGGGAAUCUUCCACAAUGGACGCAAGUCUGAUGGAGCAACGCCGCGUGAGUGAAGAAGGUUUUCGGAUCGUAAAGCUCUGUUGUUGGUGAAGAAGGAUAGAGGUAGUAACUGGCCUUUAUUUGACGGUAAUCAACCAGAAAGUCACGGCUAACUACGUGCCAGCAGCCGCGGUAAUACGUAGGUGGCAAGCGUUGUCCGGAUUUAUUGGGCGUAAAGCGAGCGCAGGCGGAAGAAUAAGUCUGAUGUGAAAGCCCUCGGCUUAACCGAGGAACUGCAUCGGAAACUGUUUUUCUUGAGUGCAGAAGAGGAGAGUGGAACUCCAUGUGUAGCGGUGGAAUGCGUAGAUAUGUGGAAGAACACCAGUGGUGAAGGCGGCUCUCUGGUCUGCAACUGACGCUGAGGCUCGAAAGCAUGGGUAGUGAACAGGAUUAGAUACCCUGGUAGUCCAUGCCGUANACGAUGAGUGCUAAGUGUUGGGAGGUUUCCGCCUCUCAGUGCUGCAGCUAACGCAU
This 834-nucleotide ribosomal RNA is filed under the name uncultured bacterium. Its description in RNAcentral is "bacterial SSU rRNA". It matches the Rfam family "Bacterial small subunit ribosomal RNA", at positions 60 to 860 of the family's 1533-position model. The record is from RNAcentral.